GAUGAACGCUGGCGGCGUGCCUAAUACAUGCAAGUCGAGCGAACGGACGAGAAGCUUGCUUUUCUGAUGUUAGCGGCGGACGGGUGAGUAACACGUGGAUAACCUACCUAUAAGACUGGGAUAACUUCGGGAAACCGGAGCUAAUACCGGAUAAUAUUUUGAACCGCAUGGUUCAAAAGUGAAAGACGGUCUUGCUGUCACUUAUAGAUGGAUCCGCGCUGCAUUAGCUAGUUGGUAAGGUAACGGCUUACCAGGGCAACGAUGCAUAGCCGACCUGAGAGGGUGAUCGGCCACACUGGAACUGAGACACGGUCCAGACUCCUACGGGAGGCAGCAGUAGGGAAUCUUCCGCAAUGGGCGAAAGCCUGACGGAGCAACGCCGCGUGAGUGAUGAAGGUCUUCGGAUCGUAAAACUCUGUUAUUAGGGAAGAACAUAUGUGUAAGUAACUGUGCACAUCUUGACGGUACCUAAGCAGAAAGCCACGGCUAACUACGU
RNAcentral lists this ribosomal RNA (496 nucleotides) under uncultured bacterium. Its description in RNAcentral is "partial 16S ribosomal RNA". It matches the Rfam family "Bacterial small subunit ribosomal RNA", at positions 28 to 506 of the family's 1533-position model. The record is from RNAcentral.